This 253-nucleotide ribosomal RNA is filed under the name uncultured bacterium. RNAcentral's name for it is "partial 16S ribosomal RNA". It matches the Rfam family "Bacterial small subunit ribosomal RNA", at positions 524 to 776 of the family's 1533-position model. The record is from RNAcentral.
UACGUAGGUGGCAAGCGUUAUCCGGAAUUAUUGGGCGUAAAGCGCGCGCAGGCGGCUGGCCAAGUCCGAUGUGAAAGCUUCCGGCUUAACUGGAAAAUUGCAUCGGAAACUGGUCGGCUUGAAGGUGGGAGAGGGUAGCGGAAUUCCCGGUGUAGUGGUGAAAUGCGUAGAUAUCGGGAGGAACACCAGUGGCGAAGGCGGCUACCUGGCCCAUUCUUGACGCUGAGGCGCGAAAGCUAGGGGAGCGAACGGG